This 202-nucleotide unclassified non-coding RNA is filed under the name uncultured Tomentella. Its description in RNAcentral is "sequence contains ITS1". The record is from RNAcentral. Lineage: Eukaryota; Fungi; Basidiomycota; Agaricomycetes; Thelephorales; Thelephoraceae.
CCGAACUGUCAACACGAGUUGUUGCUGGUCCUCAGAUGGGGGCAUGUGCACGCUCUGUUUACACAUCCACUCACACCUGUGCACCCUCUGUAGUUCUGUGGCGUGGGGGACUCUGUCCCCCCCGCUGUGGUCCUACGUUUUUACACACACUCUGUGACACAAAGUCUUAUGGAAUGCAUGACGCGUUUAACGCAAUACAAUA